AACGAACGCUGGCGGCAUGCCUAACACAUGCAAGUCGAACGAGACCUUCGGGUCUAGUGGCGCACGGGUGCGUAACGCGUGGGAACCUGCCCUUAGGUUCGGAAUAACUCCCCGACAGGGGUGCUAAUACCGGAUAAUGUCUUCGGACCAAAGAUUUAUCGCCUUUGGAGGGGCCCGCGUUGGAUUAGCUAGUUGGUAGGGUAAAAGCCUACCACGGCGACGAUCCAUAGCUGGUCUGAGAGGAUGCUCAGCCACACUGGGACUGAGACACGGCCCAGACUCCUGCGGGAGGCAGCAGUGGGGAAUAUUGGACAAUGGGCGAAAGCCUGAUCCAGCAAUGCCGCGUGAGUGAUGAAGGCCUUAGGGUUGUAAAGCUCUUUUACCCGGGAUGAUAAUGACAGUACCGGGAGAAUAAGCUCCGGCUAACUCCGUG
Molecule: ribosomal RNA, 433 nt
Filed under: uncultured bacterium
Lineage: Bacteria
Description: partial 16S ribosomal RNA
Rfam family: Bacterial small subunit ribosomal RNA
Source: RNAcentral